UACAGAGGUCUCAAGCGUUGUUCGGAUUCAUUGGGCGUAAAGGGUGCGCAGGCGGCCAAGUGUGUGAGGCGUGAAAGCCUGGAGCUUAACUCCAGAAUUGCACCUCAAACUACUUGGCUAGAGCAUUGGAGAGGGUAGCGGAAUUCACGGUGUAGCAGUGAAAUGCGUAGAUAUCGUGAGGAACACCAGAGGCGAAGGCGGCUACCUGGACAAUUGCUGACGCUCAGGCACGAAAGCGUGGGGAGCAAAAGGG
Molecule: ribosomal RNA, 253 nt
Filed under: uncultured bacterium
Lineage: Bacteria
Description: partial 16S ribosomal RNA
Rfam family: Bacterial small subunit ribosomal RNA
Source: RNAcentral